GGUACCUGGCACUGCGUGUCUAUAUUUGCGGCCAGUUCCCGGGUAGGAAGCUGUGCCAAGCGAUGCCUCGGUCGCCGUGGUUACGG
Molecule: long non-coding RNA, 86 nt
Filed under: Ornithorhynchus anatinus (platypus)
Lineage: Eukaryota; Metazoa; Chordata; Mammalia; Monotremata; Ornithorhynchidae
Description: lncRNA (ENSOANG00000038076.1)
Source: RNAcentral